Molecule: ribosomal RNA, 350 nt
Filed under: uncultured Prevotellaceae bacterium
Lineage: Bacteria; Pseudomonadati; Bacteroidota; Bacteroidia; Bacteroidales; Prevotellaceae
Description: bacterial SSU rRNA
Rfam family: Bacterial small subunit ribosomal RNA
Source: RNAcentral
GUAGUCCGCGCCGUAAACGAUGAAUACCCGUCGUUGGCGAUACAUUGUCAGCGACCAAGCGAAAGCAUUAAGUAUUCCACCUGGGGAGUACGCCGGCAACGGUGAAACUCAAAGGAAUUGACGGGGGCCCGCACAAGCGGAGGAACAUGUGGUUUAAUUCGAUGAUACGCGAGGAACCUUACCCGGGCUUGAACUGGACGGGACGGGGCGCAGAGACGUGCCCCUUCUUCGGACCCGUCUGGAGGUGCUGCAUGGUUGUCGUCAGCUCGUGCCGUGAGGUGUCGGCUUAAGUGCCAUAACGAGCGCAACCCUUGCCGGUAGUUGCCAUCAGUUGAAGCUGGGCACUCUGC